GAUGAACGCUGGCGGAGUGAAAAAUACAUGCAAGUCGAGCGAACGGACGAGAAGCUUGCUUCUCUGAUGUUAGCGGCGGACGGGUGAGUAACACGUGGAUAACCUACCUAUAAGACUGGGAUAACUUCGGGAAACCGGAGCUAAUACCGGAUGAUAUUUUGAACCGCAUGGUUCAAAAGUGAAAGACGGUCUUGCUGUCACUUAUAGAUGGAUCCGCGCUGCAUUAGCUAGUUGGUAAGGUAACGGCUUACCAAGGCAACGAUGCAUAGCCGACCUGAGAGGGUGAUCGGCCACACUGGAACUGAGACACGGUCCAGACUCCUACGGGAGGCAGCAGUAGGGAAUCUUCCGCAAUGGGCGAAAGCCUGACGGAGCAACGCCGCGUGAGUGAUGAAGGUCUUCGGAUCGUAAAACUCUGCUAUUAGGGAAGAACAUAUGUGUAAGUAACUGUGCACAUCUUGACGGUACCUAAUCAGAAAGCCACGGCUAACUACGUG
Molecule: ribosomal RNA, 497 nt
Filed under: uncultured bacterium
Lineage: Bacteria
Description: partial 16S ribosomal RNA
Rfam family: Bacterial small subunit ribosomal RNA
Source: RNAcentral